UUUUCCUACGGGGGGCAGCAGUGGGGAAUAUUGCACAAUGGGGGAAACCCUGAUGCAGCGACGCCGCGUGAGCGAUGAAGUAUUUCGGUAUGUAAAGCUCUAUCAGCAGGGAAGAAAAUGACGGUACCUGACUAAGAAGCCCCGGCUAACUACGUGCCAGCAGCCGCGGUAAUACGUAGGGGGCAAGCGUUAUCCGGAUUUACUGGGUGUAAAGGGAGCGUAGACGGCAGGGCAAGUCUGGAGUGAAAGGCGGGGGCUCAACCCCCGGACUGCUCUGGAAACUGCCAGGCUGGAGUGCAGGAGAG
This 305-nucleotide ribosomal RNA is filed under the name uncultured bacterium. RNAcentral describes it as "bacterial SSU rRNA". It matches the Rfam family "Bacterial small subunit ribosomal RNA", at positions 334 to 656 of the family's 1533-position model. The record is from RNAcentral.